RNAcentral lists this long non-coding RNA (5509 nucleotides) under Glycine max (soybean). RNAcentral describes it as "long non-coding RNA (GMAX_LNC002694)". The record is from RNAcentral. Lineage: Eukaryota; Viridiplantae; Streptophyta; Magnoliopsida; Fabales; Fabaceae.
UCAUUUAAAGUAAAGAUGAAAGUUCUUAUUUAAGCAGUGAGCUCUUCCUCCCUGUGAGUCUCAAUGACAAUAUCUGAGGUGGGGUAAGCAACGCAGGUGAGAACAAAUCCUGCAUCAAUUUGGUCGUCAUCAAGGAAGCUACCAUCUGACUGGUCCAGUUUGCCACUCACAACUUUGGCAGCACAUGCAGAGCAAGAACCAGCCCUGCAUGAGUAGGGAAGAUCAAUGCCAUUUUCCUCUGCCUGAUCAAGAAUGUAUAUAUCAUCUGGGCAUUCAAAUUCUUGCUCUCCCUCUGGAGUUAUCAGCUUCACCUUGUAAGUUGCCAUGGCCCUCACACGACCUCCUCGUCCUCCUUUUACACCAAAGACAGCAGCGUUAGCCUUGAAGCUUGUCAUGUUCACUGAUGCCUGCCUCUUCAGGAAGGAGGUGUUCAACAUAGUGCCACACAAAGCGCCUGUGGUCGCCAUAUUCUCUCCUCUCUCUCUCUUGCUUCUUCUUCUUCUUCUUCUUCUGGUUGAUAGAUAGAUAAAUAGAUAACAACGAGGAGCUUGCAUGCUUCAUUAUAAUGAGUGAGCAGCGACAUGCAACCCUAUCUGCCACGUGCCAUUAUCUUAUGCUUCAAUCUAUCUGCCUCUUUCCUUUUCAGUAAAUCCGUCUCUCUAUUCGCACGGCAGAUUAUUCACGAUUCUGGUGGCUACGUACUAUCCUCAGUUCCUCACCAGUCACCACACGUACGUUAUACUUUAUGAACUAUUUACUGAAUCUUUUUUACAAUGUAAGAAUUUAACUUAUUUUUUGAUUGGUUUUUAGUGAAUUUUUUUUUAGUUACAUAGAAAUUAUGCUAAAAUAUGUUUUUUAUAAUAAAAUUAAAAAAUAUUUGAAUUUUAUUUCUAAAAAAAUUUUAAUAUGUCCUAACAUUAAAAAUUAUUUGUAGAUUAAAAAUUAUUUGUAGAUUAAAAAUCAUUAUAAAUUAUGAGGAAAAAAAAGAAUUUGUGAGGAUUUUUCUAUAAUUUGUAACAAUUUUUUAUAAUUUGUGAAUGCUUAUAAUCCUUAGAAAUAUAUCCUAGCCCCACAAACAAUAUAUCCUAACAACGUAGUCACUCUCCUUAAGACGGGUGUUUUUUUAAUGAAUAAAGUGUGGUCUCCGUGGCCUUGUUUGUAUCCUAAAGGUGUCACGACCUUGGUAAUUAAAUCUCUCAAACCAUACAUAUUCGGAGAAUUAUUUCAACUUGCAAAUAAAGCUGGCAGCAACUUCAUAGCAUGAGACCUCUAUAAUUUCCUCCUUAAGCUUCCAUGUAAUUAGAAAGCAUAAAUUGCAGGAAGAGAUAACAUUGCCCGAAUUGUUUUCAUCUUUACAACCAGAGCGAAUAUCUCUAAGUAAUCCAUCCCAUAUGUUUAAGGUCUCUAAGUAAUCUAUCUCAUAGGUUUCAAGGAAACCCUUAGCAACCAACCUCACCUUGUCCCUCCUACUUGCCUUAUAUAUUUUACUAUACUACAUAUAUUCAUUUGCAACCAAUCAAUUUCUUUCCUUUUGUUUUGGCAAAGAAAUCAACUCGAAUGAAUGUUUUGUUCUUCUCCAAUGUCUUCAUUUCUCCAAGGAGAGGAAGCAAAAGCUAACAGUCUUCUUGAUUUGUUUCAGGAUGUUUUAUUACUUCAGAACCAGUUGGAGUUCAGACUUCAGAGAGCAUAGACACACACAUAAGUAGUCGAGAAUGAAGAAUAUAUCAACCUUUUUUCAGAUACAAUUAGAUAUCAUCUCUAGUUCAGGUUAAAAAAAUUUUCCAUGUACAAUUUGUGUACUUUCUCCAAGCAUGGACACCAUAUCUUCUAGUCCAAUUUGUGACGGAUCGGAAGAAUUUUGGUUAUAUAUGCAAAUGCAAGCCACACGAAAGAGGAAAUAAAUUAAGGAUAUUGUUAUUCAAGAAUGAAGAUGACAUGGUACGUAGGUACUACAGUUGAAGUUGGUGAUAUGAUAAACAAGCAUAUAAAUGAAAAUGCAAGAUAGAAAGAGACAUGAGAUAUAGAACUAGAAUAGCUCAUCCUCCUGGUGGGUCUGAAUAACAACAUCUGAGGUGGGAUAAGCAACACAGGUGAGAACAAAUCCGUUACCGAUUUGGGUAUCAUCAAGGUAACUACCAUCAGAUUGGUCGACUUUGCCAGAAACAACUUUGCCGGCACAGGAAGAGCAAGCACCAGCCUUGCAUGAGUAGGGAAGGUCAAUGCCAAAUUCCUCAGCCUUUUCAAGAAUGAAAACAUCAUCUGGGCAUUCAAAUUCUUGUUCUCCUUCUGGGGUUAUCAGCUUCACAUUGUAACUUGCCAUCGCACUCACACGCCCUCCACGCCCUCCCUUUAAGCCAAAAACACCAGCAUUAGCCUUCAGCAUUCUCAUGUUCACUGAUGCCAUUGCCUGCUUCCUCAGGAACGAGGUGCUCAACAACACACUGCCACACAAACCGGGUGUGGUCGCCAUUCUCUCUCUCUCUGCAAUGCAAACACGAUAAGGAGCUUGUGGUGUGGGUGGAAAUAGUGUGCUUAAUUACAACUCACAUCUAACCCUAUCUGCCCCGUGCCAAUAUCUAUCUCUCUCUAUUUUCAACUCAGAGUACUAUUGGCUAUCUACCUGACACUAUCCUCACAGCUCACGCACAAGUUGCAGAUAUACUUUAUGAAUGCCAUUUAAUCAGAGUUUUUUUUUUUUUUUUUAACCACCUGUUCAUAAAGAUAAAAUGAAUUUUAUCUAAUAUGAAAUUUGAUUGAAAAUUAAAUAAAAUUUGAGGAAAAAAAUAUUUUCGUUAAGAAUCGAAUUACUCGAAUAUUACCCAAUUUAAUCAGAGUAUUAUUUACUCCUUUUUACUCUGUCAACAAGAAAAAUAACUCUUUGAUACCAUGUAGGAUUUAAAAACACUCUUCAAUUGUAACUCUAAUACUAAAAUCUAGUUUAAAUUUUAAUGGGUUUUAUUUUAUCUUUUCACUCGUAUAAUAACUCAUAUUUUCAUUUGGAAACAUGUUUAUAUAUAUAUAUAUAUUUAAGCAGGCUCUUUUUUUUUGUAGUUGUUUAUGUACACAAUUUCUAUAUGAACUCUACACGAAUUCAUUUAUUUUAGUGAUGUUUUCAACUUGCCUAAUUUUAAAGCCAACAUAAACAACUGCAUUAGAAUAACACUUAUGUGACUCUAUAUUAGUAUUGGUGAUAGAAGGAUUAUAAAUUUGAAAAUGCUACUACUAUAUUUUUUAAUUAUUUUUUUCAUAUACAAAAUUUAAAUUUAAAAACUUAUUUAAGAAGAUCGAGUAACAUUCCAUAAAUUAUAGAUACCUUAACAACAACAUAAUUUGUAUUUAAAUAAAAUUUACGUGAGUUUUAGUUUUAAAAAAAUACUUUAUAUAAAUCAUGGCACUAUCUUCUUCCUUCCCUUUUUGUCUGCAUGGUCCACCCAUCCUCCCCUCCUCAUUUGAGACUGAGACUUACGGACACGUCUUCUUCACAUUCUCUUCCCUCACUCACUCUUUAGACUAUUUUGCCCCCAAAAGUGGACAUGUGUCAAUUUUUUAGCUAGUCCAAUUUCGUAAAAUCACUGGCCUACUCUUUUAUACAUAUUAUGUUUAGAUUAAAAAGUAUAGUGCUAACAGUACGUGGUAUGCCAGCUGUCCCAUAUAUUUUUGCUGUUAUUCUUUCUUUUUUUCAUUUUGUCUCUAUUCAAGCCACGCGUAAAUAAUAUAGAAGGUCUAUUUUAAACUUUUAUAUAUAUUUUAUCAGGCAAGAAUCAAUCCAAAUAAUACAUUUUUUUGGUGCUCGUCAUAUUUGUACAGAUAUUAAUUUUAUUAAUGAUUAAUUUUUAUUAUUGAUUGAUUAUUUUUUAUGGAUUUUUUUAAUUAUAUUUUUUUCAUAUACAAAAUUUAAAUUUAAAAACUUAUUUAAAAAGAUCGAGUAACAUUUCAUAAAUUAUAAAUACCUUAACAACAACAUAAUUUAUAUUUAAAUAAAAUUUACAUGAGUUUUAGUUUUAAAAAAAUACUUAAUAUACAUCAUGAUACUUUCUUCUUUUCUCUCUUUUUCUGGCAUGACCCACUUAUCCUCUCCUCCUCAUUUGAGACUUAUGACACACAUUUUCUUCCCUCACUCACUCUUUAGAUUAUUUUGCCCCCAAAAAUAGACAUGUGUCAAUUUUUUAGCUAGUCCAAUUUAAUAAAAUAAGUGACAUACUCUUUUAUAUCUAUUUAUAUAGUCAAUUUUUUAGUUAGUUCAAUUUUGUAAAAUCACCUACCUACUCUUUUAUAUCUAUUAUUAGAUUAGAUGCUUCACUACUUAGGUUUUCAUUACUGAGGGAUUAUAAAAUUUCCACUAAUAAAAAAAUAACAAUUAACAACGUUUGCUAUAAAAAAGUAGUAUUAGCGACUUAUAAAAUUGUAUUGAGAAAAAAAAAAUCAAGCACGUUUGAAUACACGUUUGAAAAAGUUUCAUGUUGUUUUAUACUUCUCCAAGUUAUUAUUAAGUUUUCUAUAGGGUAAGCUUUAAAAAUUAUGUCCCCAUUUGUUUUAUAUAAAAUUCUAUUUCCCGACUCUUAAUUUCAAAAUUCUAUAAGUAAACCUAUGACUAUGAGUGGACUACUAUUGAACAAUUCGCAAAUUGGCUGACCAAACUACAUCGAAUGCAAUAUUUGCGAGACAAGUAAAUUAAUCUUCCAAUCACAUAUUGAUACAUUUACUUAUCCACGGCAGAAUUACCAUAGUAAAUUAAUCUUCCAAUCACUCUCCCCCGCAACCGUCCUUCAAUGGUGAAGGAGAGGAAACAAAAGCUAACACUCUUCUUGAUUUGUUUCAGAAAGCAUCAUCCAUUUAUGUUUCAUAUUUGAAAUUUUACUUCAGAACCAGUUGGAACUUAAUGGCAUAGGAUGUACAAAUCAUUUGUAAAUGCUCUGAAGAAUAGACAGAUAAGUAAUUGAGAAUGAAGAACCUGUACUGCGGAUACAACUAGAUAUAAUCUCUCUUUUUUAAGUGAUAUGAAGGUUAAAAAAAAAUUGGCCAUACAAUUUGUCUCCUAGCAUUAACAUUAUCUUCUAUAACAUGUUAAGAACGCAAAUAAGAAGCCCCAUAAGAACGCAGGUAAGAUGCAAGUUAGAAUGACUGAAAGGGUAUACCACAUUUAUAGUAUCAAGGAANNNNNNNNNNNNNNNNNNNNNNNNNNNNNNNNNNNNNNNNNNNNNNNNNNNNNNNNNNNNNNNNNNNNNNNNNNNNNNNNNNNNNNNNNNNNNNNNNNNNUAUGCUCAUGAUGCAUAAUAUGUUGGUGAGAAAGGAAGAAAGUUAAGCAGCAGAGAGGUCUUCCUCCUUGUGGGUUUCAAUGACAACGUCUGAGGUGGGGUAAGCAACACAGGUGAGAGUAAAUCCUGCUUCUAAUUGUUCAUCCUCAAGGAAGGUGGCAUCUGAAUUGUCAACUUUGCCAGAUACAACUUUGCCAGCACACACAGAGCAAGAACCAGCCCUGCAUGAGUAGGGAAGCUCAAGCCCUUCCUCC